Molecule: ribosomal RNA, 253 nt
Filed under: uncultured bacterium
Lineage: Bacteria
Description: partial 16S ribosomal RNA
Rfam family: Bacterial small subunit ribosomal RNA
Source: RNAcentral
UACGUAGGGUGCAAGCGUUAAUCGGAAUUACUGGGCGUAAAGGGUGCGCAGGCGGUUCUGUAAGUCAGAUGUGAAAUCCCCGGGCUUAACCUGGGAAUUGCGUUUGAAACUACAGAGCUAGAGUGUGGCAGAGGGGGGUGGAAUUCCAUGUGUAGCAGUGAAAUGCGCAGAGAUAUGGAAGAACAUCGAUGGCGAAGGCAGCCCCCUGGGUUAACACUGACGCUCAUGCACGAAAGCGUGGGGAGCAAACAGG